GCUAGAGGGGGGGAACAGGGGGAAGGGGGAAGAGAAGCUGAGUCUGGAAAAGUGAAAUCACUUCCUUAAGAGGGGUACCCACUAUGAUGUCUCUCUCCCACCUCAAUUUGAAACCCUGCCCUGACACUUAUUGGCUGUGUGGUCUUGGGUAAGUCUCCCGACCCUUCCGUACCUUAGUAAACCAGGCCUUAAAUCAACCCUACUUACUAACCCUUGAGAUAACGUGUAUAAACGAGGUAAGUUUUGUAAAGCACCCAGCUAGGGUGAGGGAAGGGAGGGAGGAAGCACUGUUACGAGGAGGAAACGCCUGCAGGAGUCCUUAAGCACAGCUGCCACCAGCUACCAGCCCCAGACUCCACCCCCAUGAAUAAUGAACUGAUAUUGAUCCCCUGGUUGGGAAAUUCCCUGUGACCUGUGAUAAAAAUACACCCAGUCUGCAAGCCUCCAACUUGACUGGUUUGCACCAGCCAGAGCUGAGCUCAUCUGCACACCCCUGCCCAGCCCGCAGCCCCCAGAGGGAGAGCUCAGUUGGACAGGGCAUCAGAGACCAAGCGCCAGCUGGUGCCCACCGUCUCCUCCACUCCAUGGCCAGGGACAAAGGGAUCAAAGGAACAGGCUCGUCCAUGGCAGGAGCCCCCUGUAGCCAGGCCCCUGGAAGAGGAGAUAGAACACAGACCUGGAUUUCAAUCCAGCCUCCACCACUUCCUGCAAGUGCCUCAGUUUUGCCGGCUGUAAACUGGAGAUGGUAAUUCCUUCCUCACAGAAUUAGUCCUAGAUUCAAACAAGUUGAGGUAUGCAAAGUACCCAGUGCAGUGCCUGCCAAGAAGAGAUGCUCAAUAAACAGCAGCUCAGGCCUUGCCAUUCUCCCUCCUGUUGCCUUAUCCUUGCUGUGAAACUCAGGACUGUUUCACAGAAGAAUGAAACUGAGUGACUAGUUUUUUUCUAAUGAGACUCUUAUUGAGAUAUAAUUCACAAACCAUAAAAUUCACCAAUUUAGACUGCACAAUUCAGUGGUUUUUAGGAAAUUCACAGAGUCGUGUGACUAUCACCAUUAUCUAAUUUUAGAGCAUUUUCAUCAACCCCAAAAGAAAUCCUGUACCCAAUUCCCAUCUUCCCCACCCCAUGCCUCUGACAACCACUAAUUUACUCCCUAUCUCUAUGGAUUUACCUCUUCUGGAAAUUUCAUACAAAUGAAAUCAUAGACUACGUGGCAUUUGUGUCUGGUCUCUUCCACUUAGCAUAAUGUUUUCAAACUUCAUCCAUGCUGUAGCAUGAAACUGUACUUUGUUCCUUUUCACAGCUGAGUAAUGUUCCAUCAUAUGGAUAAACCACAUUUUGUUUAUCCAUUCAUCAGUUGAUGACAUUUGGGUUUUUUCCACUUUUUGGCUAUUAUGAAUAAUGUUGUUAUGAAGCUUCAUGUACAAGUUUCUGUGUGGACAUGUGUUUUCAUUUUUCUUGGGUAUAUAUAUAUAUAUAUAUAUAUACACACACACACACACACACACACACAUAUAUAUAUAUAUGAGUGAUGUUGUUGGAUCAUAUAGUAAUUCUAUGUUUAAUUUUUUGAGGAACUUCCAAAUAGUUUUCUAAAGCAGUUGCCCCAUUUUAUAUGUCUACUAGCAGUGUAUGAUGGUUCCAAUUUCUCCACAUCCUUGCCAACCCUUGUUGUUAAUUGUCUUUUUGGUUAUAGCAAUUGCAGUGUGUAUGAACUGGUAUCUCAUUGUGGUUUGAUUUCUCUGAUGUCUAAUGAUGCUGAGCAUCUUUUCGUGUGUUCUUGGCCAGUGGUAUAUCUUCCCUGAGAAAUGAUCUAUUCAGAUCAUUUCCCAAGUUUUUAAUUGGAUUGUUUGUCUUUUUAUUUUUGAGUUAUAAGAGUUCUUUAUUCCAAGUAUAAAUCCUUUAUCAGAUAUAUGGUUGGCAAAUAUUUUCUCCCAUCUGGUGAUGUGUAUUUGUCUUUUUUGUUUUCUUGAUGGUGUCCUUUGAAGCACAAAAGUUUUUAAUUUUGAUAAGGUCCAACUUGUCUAUUCUUUCUUUUUCACCUGUAUUUUUGGUCUCAUGUCUAAGAAACCAUAAGAACCUAAUCCAAAGUCACUGUUUUCUUCUAAGAGUUUUAUACUUUUAGCUCUUACAUCUAAUACGUUUUGAAUUAAUUUUUUAAUAUGGUAUGAGGUAAGGGUCCAACUUUAUUAUUUUGCCAGUUUUCCCACUACUAUUUGUUGAAAAGACUAUUCUUGUCCCCACUGAACUGUCUUGGCACUCUUGUUGAAAAUCAAUUGAUUGUACACGCAAGAGUUUAUUUCUGGACUCACAAUUCUAUUCCAUUUGUCUCAAUGUCUAUCCUUCUGUCAGUAUCACACUGUCUUGAUUACUGUAGCUUUGUAGUGAGUUUCGAAAUCGAGGAAGAGUGUUCCAAUUUUGUUCUUCCCUUUCAAGUUUGUUUUGACUAUUCUGGAUUCGUUGUAAUUUCACAUGAAUUUUAGGAUCUGCUUAUCCAUUUCUAAAAACAAAAGCUGGUUAUUUUAUAAGGAUUGCACUGAAUCUAUAGAUCAAUUUGGAGCUCAAUGCCAUCUUAAUAUUAAGCCUUCCAAUACAUGAACAUGUCAUGUCUUUCCAUUUAUCUAGGUCUUCUUCCAUUUAUUUGAGCAACCUUUUAUAGUUUUCAAUGUAUAGGACUUGUACUUCACUCAUUAAAUAUAUUCCUAGUUGUUUUUUGUUCUUUUUGAUGCUACUGUAAAUGGAACUAUUUUCUUAAUUUCUUUUUCAGAUAGUGCAUUGCUAGUGUGUAGAAAUACAAUUAAUUUUUAUAUAUUGAUUUUGUAUCUUGCAACCUUGCUGAACUUGGUUAUUAGUUCUAAUAGUGUUGUGUGUGUGUGUGUGUGUGUGUGUGUGUAUUCCUUGGGAUUUUCUCUAUAAAAGUCAUACCAUCUGUGAAUAGAGAUAAUUUUACCUCUUUCCAGUCUGGAUGCCUUUAUGAACAUUUAUUUCUUGCCUAAUUGCCCUGGUUAGAACCUCCAAUACAAUGUUUAACAGAAGUGGUAAAAACAGAUAUCCUUGUCUUGUUUCUGAUCUUAGGGCAAAGCAUCUAGUCUUUUACCAUGAAGUAUGAUGUUGGCUGUGGGUUUUUGGUAGAUGUCCUUGAUCAGAUUGAGGAAGUCUCCUUCUAUUCCUAGUUUGUUUAGUGUUUUAUCAUGAAAGCUUGUUGGAUUUUGUCGAAAAGCUAUUUCUGUGUCCAAUGAGAUGAUUGCAUUUCAUUUGUCCUUUAUUCUAUUAACAUAGUGUACAUUGACUCAUUUUUGGAUGUUAAGGCAAUCUUGAAUUCCUGGGAUAAAUCCCACUUUGUCUUGGUGUAUAAAUCUUUUUAUAAGUUGUUGGAUUUUGUUGCUAGUAUUUUGUUGAGUAUUUUGGAGUCUAUAUGCAUUGGACUGUAGUUUUCUUGUGAUGGUUUUGGUUUUGGAAUCAAGGUAAUACUGACGUCAUAGAAUGAGUUGGGAAGUGUUCCCUAUUAAUCUUUUUUGGGGAAGAGAUUGUGAAGAAUUAGUAUUAUGUUUUCUUUAUGUUUGAUAGAAUUCACUAGCAAAGUCAUCUGAGUCUGAGCUUUUUCUCUAUGGGAUUUUAAAAAAUUACUAGUUCAGUCUCUUGUUAUAGUCUAUUCAAAAAAUUUUAAUUUCUCUCACAUAAGUUUCAGCAGUUUCCCUCUAGAAAUGUGUCCCUUUCAUCUAGUUUAUUUAAUUUUUUGGCAUGCGGUUUUUCAUAAUAUUCCUUCAUAUAGUCCUUCUUAUUUUUGUAAGGAUGGUAGUCAUGUCCUGCUUUCAUUUCUCAUUUUAGUAAAUUGAGUCUUCUCUCUCUUUUUCUUCCUCAGCCUAGUUAAUAGUUUGUCGAUUCUGUUGAUAUUUUCAAAAAAACAACUUUAAAUUUUGUUGAUUCUCUCUAUUGUUUUUCUAUUCUUUAUUUGAUUCAUUUCUGCUCUAAACUUUAUUAUUUCCCACCUUCUCCUGCUUGAGGUAUAGUUAGCUCUUCUUUGUCUAGUUUUUUAAGGUGAAAGAUUAGGUUAUUAUUGUAUUUGAAUUCUUUUCUAAUAUGGGCACUUACAACUAUAAAUAUUCCUCUAAGUAUUGCUUUAGGUGCAUCCCAUACAUUUUGGUAUGUUGUGUUUCUGUUUUCAUUCAUUUCAAAGCAUUUUCUUAUUUCUCUUGUAGUCUUUCUUUGACCCAUUGAUUAUGUAGGAGUGUGUUAAUUUCUACACAUUUGUGAAUUUCCCAAAUUUCCUCGUUUUAUUGAUUUUUAAUUUAUUUUCAUUUUGAGUGGAGAACAUACUUUGUAUUAUUUCAAUUAUUUUAAACUUAUUGAGGCUUGUUUUAUAAUCUAAUAUAUGAUCUACCAUGGAGAAUGUUCCAUGUGCACUUGAGAAGAGUAUGCAUAUAGCUGUUGUUGAGUGGAGUGUUCUAUAACUGUCUAUUAGGCUGGUUAAUAGUGUUGUUCAAGUCAUGUACAUUUUUAUUGAUCUGCCUAGUUGUUCUAUCUAAUAUUGAAAGUGGGGUAUUGAAGUCUUCAAAAAUUAUUGUUGAAUUGUUUAUUUCUUCCCUCAAUUCUGUUGGUGUUUGCUUCAUGUAAUUUGGAGCUGUUUUAUUAGGUGCAUAUACAUUUAUAUUUUUUAUACCUUCCUGAUGAAUUGACCCUUUUAUCAUUAUAAAACAUAAUUUUUUUAGUAACAACUUGUCUUAAAGUGUAUUUUGUUGAUAUUAGUAUAGCUACUUCAGCUAUCUUUUGGUUGCUGUUUGCAUGAUAUGUCUUUUUCCAUCCUUUUAUUUUCAACAAAUUUGUGACUUUAAAUCUAAUAUAUGCCUCUUUUAGACAAUAUAUAGUUGAUCAUGGAUUUGCAAAAUCCGUUUUGCCAAUCUCUAUCUUUUGAUUGAGGCAUUUAAUUCAUUUACAUUUAAUGCAAUUACUGAUAUGAUUGGAAUCAUACCUGCCAUUUGCUAUUAGUUCUCUAUACGUUUUGUGUCUUUUUUGUUCCUCUAUUCCUCCAUUACUGCCUUCUUUUGUGUUAGUUAGAUAUUUUAGUGUACGAUUUUUAUUCUCUUGUCAUGUAUUUUACCAUGUAUUUUUGAGAUUUUUUUUUUUUUUAGUAGUUGUCCUGGAGAUUACAAUUAAGAUCUUAAUUUAAAGCAUUCUAGUCUGGAUUAAUGCUAACUUAAUAUCAAUAGUAUACAAACUUUGCUCCCACAUAGUCAUUCCCUCCUCCCUCCUUUGUGCUGUUAUUGUAAUAUAAAUUUCAAUUUUAUACAUUAUAAGCCCAUUAACACAAUUUUAUUGUUAUCUUAUGCCAUUGUCUUUUUAAAAUAUUUUACAUAAUUUAUUUUUCUGUUCACACUUAUAACUCCAUUCCACAUCCCCAUCCCUCAGGAGUAUAUUCUAAUUUAAUGUAUUUUUAUGUUUGUAUGUGUGUGGGGUUUUUGUUGUACCAUUGUCUUUUAAGUCAGAAGAAAAGCAUUACAAAUGAAAAUGCAAUCGUAUUGUCAUUUAUAUACCUAUGUAGUUACCUUUAAUAGUACUCUUGAUUUCUUUCUGUGGAUUCAAGUUACCAUGUAGAGUCCUUUCAUUUCAGCCUGAAGAACUCCCUUUAAUAUUUCUUGUAGGGAAGGUCUGGUGCUGAAAUAUCAGUAGGUAGGUCUAGUAAUGGAAUAUCAGUUUGUUUGUUUUUUAAAACUUGGAAUGCCUUAAUUUCUCCUUAAUUUUCAAGGAUAGUUUUGCUGGACAGAGAAUUCUUGCUUGGCAAUCUUUUUCUUUCAGCAGUUUGAUUAGUCAUUCCACUGUCUUUCAGCCUCUGUGGUUUCUGAUGAGAAGUUAGCUUCUCAUAAUCUCAUCAGUCUUAUUACUGAUCACUUGUAUGUGAUUUUUCUCUUACUGCUUUCAAGUUUCUCUCUUUGUCUUUGACUUUUAUCAAUUGACUAUGACAUGUCUAGGUGUGGAUCUCAUUGCAUUUAUCCUAUCUGAAGUUCAUUGAGCUUCUUGAAUACGUAGAUGGGUGUUGUAUUUUUUUAACCAAAUUUGGGACUUUGGAUUAUUAUUUCUCUUCUGCUUUCUUUCUCUCUUCUCCUUCAGGGACUACCAUUAUGCAUGUGUUGAUACACUUGAUGAUGUCACAUGUGUCUUUGAGGCUCUGUUCAUUUUGCUUCAUUUUAAAAAAAAUUUUUUUAGUCUUCAGACUGGAAAAUCUCAGUUUAAGUUCAAGUUUGCUGAUUCUUUCCUCUGUCAGCUCAAAUCAGCUGUUGACCCCCUCUAGUGAAUUUUUCAUUUCAGUUACUGUACUUUUCAAGUUGAGAAUUUCUAUUUGGCUCUUGUGUGUGUGUGUGUGUGCACGCGUGUGUAUGUGUUAAAAUAUACAUAACAUAAAAAUCACAAUUUUACCCAUCUUUUUUGGUAGCAAGUAUAAAUUUAUUAUACAUAUCUUUAUUAAAAUUUGGUUUUAUUGUGGUAAAAUAUACAUAACAUAAAACUUACCAUUAUAACCAUUUUAAGUGUACAUAUUAUUGGCAUUAAGUACAUUCACAUUGUUGUGCAGCCAUCACUACCAUUUAUCUCCAGAAAACAAUAACUCUCCAUUCCUCCCUCUCUUCAGAUCCUGGUAACCACCAUUCUACUUUCUGUCUCUAUGAAUUUGAUUACUCUAGGUAUCUCACAUAAGUUGAAUCAUACAACAUUUAUCUUUUUCUGUCUGGCUUAUUUCAUUUAGCAUAAUGUCUUCAGGGUUUAUCCAUGCUACAGUAUUUGUCAGAAUUUCCUUCCUUUCUAAGGCUGAAUAAUAUUCCAUUGUACAUACAUUUUGUUCAUCCCUUCAUCCAUUGAUGGACAUUUGGGUUGUUUCCAGCAUUUGACUAUUGUGAAUAAUACUGCUAUGAACAUAGGUGUACGAGUAUCUGUUCAAGUCCCAGCUUUCAAUUAUUUUUGGUAUAUACCCAUAAGUGGAAUUGCUGGAUCAUAUAGUAAUUCUAUUUUUUUUUCUCUUACUGCUUUCCACAGCAGCUGCACCAUUUUACAUUCCCACCAGCAGUGCACAAGAGUUCUGAUUUCUCCUCAUCUUGGCCAAUGCUUAUUAUUUUCUGUUUUGUGAUUUUUUGGUUUUGGUUUUAAAAAAAAAAUAACCAUCCUAAUGGUUGUAAUGUCUGAAGUAAUGUCUCUUUGUGGUUUUGAUUUGCAUUUCCCUAAUGAUUAAUGAUAUUGAACAUCUUUUCAUGUGCUUAUUGACCAUUUAUAUAUCUUCUUUGCAGAAAUGUCAAUUCCUUUGUCCAUUUUUGAAUUGGGUUGUUUGUUUUUUUGUUGUUGUUGUUGGGUUUUAGGAGUUCUUUAUAUACUCUGGAUAUUAAUCUCUUAUCAGCUAUGUGAUUUGCAAAUAUUUUUCCUAUUCUAUAGGUUGUCUUUUCAUUCUGUUGAUAGUAUCCUUUGAUGUACAAAAGUCUUUAAUUUUGAAGUCCAAUUUGUCUAUUUUUCCUUUGUUGCCUGUGCUUUGAUGUCAAUCCAAUGCCAUUAAGAUUUCCUCCCAUGUUUUCUUCUAAGAGUUUUAGAGUUUUAGCUCUUAUGUUUUGGUCUUUGAUCAAUUUUGAGUUAAUUUUUUAUAUGGUGUUAGGUAAGGGUCCAAUUUCAUUCUUUCACACAUGGAUAUCCAGUUUUCCUGGCACCAUUUCUUGAAAAGACUGUCUUUUCCCUACUGAAUGGUUUUAGCAUCUUUGUCAAAAAUCAUUUGGCCAUAUACACUAGGGUUUAUUUCUGGGCUCUCUAUUCUAUUCCAUUAGUCUAUAUGUCUGUCCUUAUGCCAGUAUUCCACUGUUUUGGUUACUAUAGCUUUGUAGUAAGGUAUGAAAUCAGGAAGUGUAAGUACUCUGAAUUUGUUCUUCUUUUUCAAGAGUAUUUUGGCUAUUUGAGCUCCCUGAACUUGCAAUGAACUUUAAGAUGCUUUUCCUAUUUCUGAAAAAAACAAAACAAAACAAACAAACAGAAAAACACUGUUGGGAUUUUGACAGAGAUUGCAUUGAAUCUGUAGAUCUCUUAGGGUAAAUAUUGUCAUCUUAAGAAUAUUAAGUCUUUCAAUCCACGAACAUGGGAUAUUUUUCACUUUACAUGUCUUCUUUCAUUUAUUUCAGCAACAUUUGUAGUUUUCAGUGUAUGAGAAUUUUGCCUCCUUGCUUAAGUUUAUUCCCAAGUAUUUUAUCCUUUUUGAUGCUAUUGUUAAUGGAAUUGUUCCCUAAAUUUCCUUUUUGGAUUGUUCAUUGUUAAUGUAUAGACACACAAUUGAUUUUUUGUUGUUGUUGAUUUUGUAUCCUGCAAUUUCGCUGAAUUUAUUUAUUAGUUCUAACAACUUUUUGUGGAAUCUUUAGGGUUUUCUACAUAUAAGAUCAUGUCAUCUGCAAACAGAAAUAAUUUGACUUCUUCCUUUUCAAUUUGGAUGCCCUUUAAUUCUUUAGGCAUGAUUUCCUCCAGUUUUUAAGAAACAUACUCCUAUAUUAACCUUAUAUUCUGCAACCUUGUUAUAAUUGCUUAUUAGUUCCAGGAGUCUUUGUUGAUUCUUUAGGAUUUUCUAUGUGGACAAUUAUAUCACCUGUGAACAAAGACUUUUUAUUUCUUCCUUGCCAAUAUGUAUACUUUUUUUGGUCUUAUAGCAUUAGCUAAGUCUUCCAGUACAAUGUUGAAUGGGAGUGGUGAGAGCAGACAUCCUUGCCUGUUCCUGAUAUUAGGGGGAAAGCAUCUAGUUUCUCAUCAUAAAUUAUGAUGUUAGCUGUACGUUUUUUGUAGAUGUUCUUUAUCAAGAGAGUUUUUAUCAUUAAUUGAUCAAGUGCUUUUUCUGCAUCUGUUGAUAUGAUCAUAUAAUUUUUCUUCUUUAGCCUGUUGGUGUGAUAGAUUACAUUAACUGAUUUUUUAAAAAAAUAUUUAUUUAUUUGGCUGUGUCAGGUCUUAGUUGUGACACGAGAUCUUAGUUGUGGCAUGUGGGAUCUUUCGUUGUGGCAUGUGGGCUCUCUAGUUGUGGCACGCAGGCUCUAGAGCACACAUGCUUAGUUGCCCUGCGGCAUGUGGGAUCUUAGUUCCCCGACCAGGGAUUGAACCUGUGUCCCCUCCAUUGGAAGGCAGAUUCUUAACCACUGGACCCCCAGGGAAGUCUUUACAUUAACUGAUUUUUGAGGAGCAUAUUUUGUAAUAGCUGAUUUAAAGUCUUUGCCUGGUAAGUCCAACAUCUUCUUCAGGGACAGUUUCUUUUGGCUACUUUUCCUGUGUAUGGGCAAUACAUUUUUACUUUGUAUGUAUCAUAAUUUUUUGUAGAAAACUUGACAUUUCAAUACUAUAAUGUGGCAACUCUGGAAAUCAGUUUCUCCCCUCUCCUCAGGGUUUGGUUUCGUUACUGCUUGUUUUAGUUGUUGUUGUUUGCCUAUUUAGUGACUUUUCCUAACUAAUUCUGUAAAGUACAUUUUCUGUCAUAUGUGGCUCCUGAAGUGAAUGCUUGGUUAGCUUAGUGGUCACUAAUGACUGAACAGAAAUUUCCUUAAAUACUUUGAAUGAGUGAUCAUCAACCCUUUGAUGAGAGGCUGUGUGUGUGUGUUUGUGCGUGUGUGCAUGUGCGUGUGUGUGUCGGGUUACUCCUUCAAUGCUCUAGCAGUUUGCAAUCCUGCCUUUGCCAUCACUUUCUACCUCCACCAAGCCCCAAUGUCAGCCAGACGUGAAAAAGUAGGGCCUUUUCAGGUGUAUUUGGUGCAUGCACACAGCCCUGCAAAUGCAAGUGGCCUCCUAGAUCUUCAGGAAUAUGACAUGUCAGGGCAUUUCAAAACCCCCUAUUAACUUCUCAUUCCCCAGAUCUUCCUUUUAAGUUUUUUGACCAGAUAGUCUCUUCUUUCCCCCAAUUGGUACUGCUGCUGUGGUAUUAAACAGUUGUUACUGGUUGUUUUCAAUAAAUGCUCUAGGGGUAGGAUCUUUCCCACUGAGUGGACUCUGAGCUAGGUCAAAUAAAAACUCUGUGAAUGAUACUUUUCCAAGGAGCUGCUAGACAGGUCAAGUAGUGACAAUUCUCUAGGAAUUGGGCUUUUUGAGGAUCUUCAAACCUGGUAUGCUCCCUCUGGGUGUUGCUAGACUACUAGUUUUCCAGGCUACUAUGGAGCUUGGGAGAAAGAGAUGAGAAUAGGACAAGUCCAAACCUCACAAAUCUCACUGUUCUUACCAAGAAUCAGCAGUUUUGUUUUUUUUUUCAAAUAAUGCUCCUCAUAUCAUUGCAAACUUUUGGUUACUUUCCAAGGUUCUGGAAAAGUUGAUUUUAACCAUUUGUUCUGGAGUUCUUACUGCUUUUAAGGAGUAGCAGAUUUUUGGAGGCCCUUACCCCACCAUUCCUGAUGUCCUGCUCUGAAUGACUCUGGAUAGACAGACGUCUGUGAAUGAAGCAACAGCAUGCGCAAAAGAUGGAGAUAUGAAAGUUCAUGACUUAUUUAAGACUAGCAAGUGACCCUGAGUGACUGGACCAUAUGGAAGAUAGGAAGCUGGAACUCAGAGAAGACAAGUGACUCGCCUAAGGUCACAUAGCCAGUAAGCAGCAGAGCAAGGAUUCAGAUCCAGGACUGUUGGCCACUAGAGUCUGGAGUCUUUCUUUUAUGUUGUCUCCAACCAUCUCUCAGGAGACUCCAAUUCUAGACUGGGUCCCAGUCAGGGGCUCAGAGCUGAAAGCCCCUUUUUCAGACCCUUAUGUACAUACCCUGCGGGAGCAGCAGGUCUGGACCAGGCCAUGGUAGGCAUGGAACUCCAGCAGGAAUGUCAGCGGACUCCUGUACUGCCUGACCCAGGGCAUCCUUUCUCUCUGUCCCAGGCCUGUAGAGCUGGGCUUAUUUUCAGGGCUGGAUGAGUGGAUUUUUCCCAAUGGAGUGUGGAUAGUCCACAGUUGGGCCAAAUGGAGGCCCCUCCCUCCCAUAGGAGAAAAGGGGAAAGGGGGAAGGGGAGCAGAGCAGCCUUCCAGAAAGGAUAGCUUUGCUGAGUUUCAGCCUAAUAUCCUGGAGCUAUUCCUAGGUAGAUUGUGGUCAGUGGAAUUAUGCUUUUAUCAGGCUGCUGGGAGUUUCAAUAAAAUCUUUAUGGCCUGGAAA
Orcinus orca (killer whale) is the source of this 11105-nucleotide long non-coding RNA. RefSeq lists it as uncharacterized. NCBI's taxonomy places the organism in Eukaryota, Metazoa, Chordata, Mammalia, Artiodactyla, Delphinidae. The transcript has 2 exons. The record is from RefSeq and is a predicted model, not a curated record.